RNAcentral lists this ribosomal RNA (492 nucleotides) under uncultured bacterium. Its description in RNAcentral is "partial 16S ribosomal RNA". It matches the Rfam family "Bacterial small subunit ribosomal RNA", at positions 29 to 507 of the family's 1533-position model. The record is from RNAcentral.
AGUGAACGCUGGCGGUAGGCCUAACACAUGCAAGUCGAACGGCAGCACAGUAAGAGCUUGCUCUUACGGGUGGCGAGUGGCGGACGGGUGAGGAAUACAUCGGAAUCUACUUUUUCGUGGGGGAUAACGUAGGGAAACUUACGCUAAUACCGCAUACGCCCUACGGGUGGAAGCAGGGGAUCUUCGGACCUUGCGCGAUUGAAUGAGCCGAUGUCGGAUUAGCUAGUUGGCGGGGUAAAGGCCCACCAAGGCGACGAUCCGUAGCUGGUCUGAGAGGAUGAUCAGCCACACUGGAACUGAGACACGGUCCAGACUCCUACGGGAGGCAGCAGUGGGGAAUAUUGGACAAUGGGCGCAAGCCUGAUCCAGCCAUACCGCGUGGGUGAAGAAGGCCUUCGGGUUGUAAAGCCCUUUUGUUGGGAAAGAAAAGCAGCAGGUUAAUACCCCGCUGUUCUGACGGUACCCAAAGAAUAAGCACCGGCUAACUUCGUG